GAACGCUAGCGUACAGGCUAACACAUGCAAGUCGAGGGGCAGCAUGAAGUUGCUGCAAACUUGAUGGCGACCGGCGCACGGGUGAGUAACGCGUAUCCAACCUGGCCCGCAGUAGGGAACAGCCCGGCGAAAGUACGGAUUAAUGCCCUAUGUCUUCCUUUGCAGGCAUCCAAUGAGGAAGAAAGAUUUAUCGCUGCGGGAUGGGGAUGCGUCUGAUUAGCUUGUCGGCGGGGUAACGGCCCACCGAGGCGACGAUCAGUAGGGGUUCUGGAGAGGAAGGUCCCCCACACCUGGUACUGAGACACGGACCAGACUCCUACGGGAGGCAGCAGUGAGGAAUAUUGGUCAAUGGGCGAGAGCCUGAACCAGCCAAGUAGCGUGCAGGGAACCGACUGCCCUAUGGGUUGUAAACUGCUUUUAUGCGGGGAUAAACUUCAGCACGUGUGCUGUUUUGCAGGUACCGCACGAAUAAGGACCGGCUAAUUCCGUGCCAGCCGCAGC
Molecule: ribosomal RNA, 501 nt
Filed under: uncultured bacterium
Lineage: Bacteria
Description: bacterial SSU rRNA
Rfam family: Bacterial small subunit ribosomal RNA
Source: RNAcentral